This 438-nucleotide ribosomal RNA is filed under the name uncultured bacterium. RNAcentral's name for it is "bacterial SSU rRNA". It matches the Rfam family "Bacterial small subunit ribosomal RNA", at positions 29 to 514 of the family's 1533-position model. The record is from RNAcentral.
AACGAACGCUGGCGGCAGGCCUAACACAUGCAAGUCGAGCGCCCCGCAAGGGGAGCGGCAGACGGGUGAGUAACGCGUGGGAAUCUACCCAUCCCUACGGAACAACUCAGGGAAACUUGAGCUAAUACCGUAUACGCCCUUCGGGGGAAAGAUUUAUCGGGGAUGGAUGAGCCCGCGUUGGAUUAGCUAGUUGGUGAGGUAAUGGCUCACCAAGGCGACGAUCCAUAGCUGGUCUGAGAGGAUGAUCAGCCACACUGGGACUGAGACACGGCCCAGACUCCUACGGGAGGCAGCAGUGGGGAAUAUUGGACAAUGGGCGCAAGCCUGAUCCAGCCAUGCCGCGUGAGUGAUGACGGCCCUAGGGUUGUAAAGCUCUUUCAACGGUGAAGAUAAUGACGGUAACCGUAGAAGAAGCCCCGGCUAACUUCGUGCCAGCCG